GACUGAGCUGUGAGUCUUAUCAGGCAGAGGUGGGGCUGAGUGGCCAAAGGCAGCAAAUGGAGCUCUCAUUGGGACAGAAAUGCUUCUCAUCUAUCACUGGGAUCUGAUUUUUAGAACUGCUUCCAGGAGACAGUCCCCAGGUGAAUCUUGGCUGGUGAAAAAAGGAGGUCUUGGAACUACAUGUUCAGAAAGGGAAAGCAGUGAGCCACAGACAGAUUUCAGCAAUUGGAAAGCAAAAAACCCAAGGAUUUUGCCGGCGGUCCAGUAAUGUUCUGAUCUGCUGCAAAACUUUACAGUCAGCACAGCCGUCUGUGCAGGUCUUGGUCAUAUUUAAAUAGGAAUUGACAAGUCUCCAAAGCUUUGAUGGUUGAUUUGGCCAGGUGUUCAGAAGGCCUUUGGCUAAUUCCAAUUCUCUUCUCUGUCUCAGUUAAGACAUCAGUCCACAGAUCUUGAGUGCAAGCUCUCUGUUAUCAUUCCUCACAACUCUCAUUCAAUACGGUUAGAAUUAAGAACAUUUUUUUUCUCCAUGUUCUGGAAGAUUUCUGUGCACAUCUAGUAAAUAGAUAUUAAACAUUGUUCAAGAAAAGUGGUAUGUGGAAAGGACUGACUUUUCUUUUUUCUUUUUCUUUUUUCUUUUUUUACUAGAGAAUUAGAUUUCUUCUUUUUUACUGAGCCAUACACAUCUGUCCUGAGUUUUCAUUGCUGGAUUAAAGGCAUUAAAGAAAUAUCAACAGAGUAAUAUCUUAACUUAUUAUUUUUCACCUGUUGAUAAUCCUUGGCAUUUAAAAUGUCAUUAUUUUAUUUUUGAGACAGAGCUUUAUGAAGAAACCCUCUGUGUGGUGUUUAUUGUGCAAUAAAUAUCAUGUUCCGCAAC
This is a long non-coding RNA of Gallus gallus (chicken), 874 nucleotides long. Lineage: Eukaryota; Metazoa; Chordata; Aves; Galliformes; Phasianidae. The record is from Ensembl.